UCGAAUGUGGUGUAUGGUGCACGGCCCUGCCUUAUCAUAAGGGAGUGUUGUAUCUCCGGGCAGGACGGGGUUCAACUCCCUGCAUUCGAA
This is a non-coding RNA of Mycena rosella, 90 nucleotides long. The record is from the annotation of a GenBank genome assembly. Lineage: Eukaryota; Fungi; Basidiomycota; Agaricomycetes; Agaricales; Mycenaceae.